GCAAGUGUAGUUCAGUGGUAGAACAUUAGCCUUCCAAGCUAAGUAUGCGAGUUCGAUUCUCGUCACUUGCUCCA
This 74-nucleotide transfer RNA is filed under the name Caryophanales bacterium. RNAcentral describes it as "tRNA-Gly". It matches the Rfam family "tRNA". Rfam says of the family: Transfer RNA (tRNA) molecules are approximately 80 nucleotides in length. Their secondary structure includes four short double-helical elements and three loops (D, anti-codon, and T loops). Further hydrogen bonds mediate the characteristic L-shaped molecular structure. tRNAs have two regions of fundamental functional importance: the anti-codon, which is responsible for specific mRNA codon recognition, and the 3' end, to which the tRNAs corresponding amino acid is attached (by aminoacyl-tRNA synthetases). tRNAs cope with the degeneracy of the genetic code in two manners: having more than one tRNA (with a specific anti-codon) for a particular amino acid; and 'wobble' base-pairing, i.e. permitting non-standard base-pairing at the 3rd anti-codon position. The record is from RNAcentral. Lineage: Bacteria; Bacillati; Bacillota; Bacilli; Caryophanales.